CAGGUCUUGACAUCCUCUGACACUCCUAGAGAUAGGACGUUCCCCUUCGGGGGACAGAGUGACAGGUGGUGCAUGGUUGUCGUCAGCUCGUGUCGUGAGAUGUUGGGUUAAGUCCCGCAACGAGCGCAACCCUUGAUCUUAGUUGCCAGCAUUCAGUUGGGUACUCUAAGGUGACUGCCGGUGACAAACCGGAGGAAGGUGGGGAUGACGUCAAAUCAUCAUGCCCCUUAUGACCUGGGCUACACACGUGCUACAAUGGAUGGUACAAAGGGCUGCAAAACCGCGAGGUCGAGCCAAUCCCAUAAAACCAUUCUCAGUUCGGAUUGUAGGCUGCAACUCGCCUACAUGAAGCUGGAAUCGCUAGUAAUCGUGGAUCAGCAUGCCACGGUGAAUACGUUCCC
RNAcentral lists this ribosomal RNA (401 nucleotides) under uncultured soil bacterium. Its description in RNAcentral is "bacterial SSU rRNA". It matches the Rfam family "Bacterial small subunit ribosomal RNA", at positions 975 to 1375 of the family's 1533-position model. The record is from RNAcentral.